This is a long non-coding RNA of Rattus norvegicus (Norway rat), 928 nucleotides long. The record is from Ensembl. Lineage: Eukaryota; Metazoa; Chordata; Mammalia; Rodentia; Muridae.
CUGGGAAAUGCCGUAGCCUACUUUCUAACUACCUCUAACCACACUGACCUGUUUGUGGAGUGCCUUUCCCUGAAACUCACUCUUGAGCCAGGGAAUACCCAUUUGUCCAUUCUCCUUCCAGAGCUAAAGAGUUCUUACUACUUCAUUUCAACUCAGUUGCUGAGGAUAGGGAGAGUUGGUUAAGGUCUUGAUAUGGGUAGAAGAGCUUUGUUAACACCCAAACAUCUAAAGACCUUGGAUGAGGGAGAUUCUUCUUCCUGAAAUGGAUAAACCCAGGCUCCAUUCAUGUGACAUACAGUCCAAUUCCCACAGUUUUUGCAGUUUCCCGGAGGCCAAUAUCUUUUUCCUACACCUUUAAAUGUAUGCAGGUUGGAGUAUAUCGUUUCACUGAGUAAGCCUUGAGAGGAGGCAUAGUUUCAAUAUAUUCACCCAUGUUGUGGAGACAUCGAGAUGCAGCUCCCAGGCAGGAUCAAUCAUGCCUCAGAUGUUCCUGGUAUCGUGGGAAUAACGAUCUUGUGGUAUCUUGCAAAGUGGAAAUUGAGGAUGGGAGACAAUUCUGCUUACCUGGGAGAUGGAUCCAAACAUGGACCGCAUCCUACCCUCCCAGGCAUCCAAACAAAGCAGCUCUAUUUUCUCCUGAUGGAAGUCCUUCAGAGAUGAAGAGGUGUCCUCUGUUACUGAGGCCAUGGCUUCUCUAAAGGUUCAUAAACGGCAAUGGAGAAGGAUACUACAGUGACAACCCCAUUACUUACGUGGGGUCAGGGUGCGUGGAGAGGAGAAUGAACACUUUAGUGGAUCCUUGCUGAUGGAAUGGGGAGAUGGUGGCAUUGAGAUAAUCGACUAUCCUCUGUGGAAGAUCCUACUGCAUUUCAAACUCAUUUGUAAAAGACUGCCGUUACAUUAAAAGAAGUUGUGCUUGCUAAUGGAA